UACCCAGACUCCUACGGGAGGCAGCAGUGAGGAAUAUUGGUCAAUGGCCGAGAGGCUGAACCAGCCAAGUCGCGUGAGGGAAGAAUGUCCUAAGGAUUGUAAACCUCUUUUGUCGGGGAGCAAAAAGGCUCUGCGGAGUCGUAUUGAGAGUACCCGAAGAAAAAGCAUCGGCUAACUCCGUGCCAGCAGCCGCGGUAAUACGGAGGAUGCGAGCGUUAUCCGGAUUUAUUGGGUUUAAAGGGUGCGUAGGCGGACUGGAAAGUCAGCGGUAAAAUCGAGAGGCUCAACCUCUUUCCGCCGUUGAAACUGUCGGUCUUGAGUGGGCGAGAAGUAUGCGGAAUGCGUGGUGUAGCGGUGAAAUGCAUAGAUAUCACGCAGAACUCCGAUUGCGAAGGCAGCAUACCGGCGCCCGACUGACGCUGAGGCACGAAAGCGUGGGUAUCGAACAGGAUUAGAUACCCUCGUAA
Molecule: ribosomal RNA, 467 nt
Filed under: uncultured bacterium
Lineage: Bacteria
Description: bacterial SSU rRNA
Rfam family: Bacterial small subunit ribosomal RNA
Source: RNAcentral